Molecule: non-coding RNA, 95 nt
Filed under: Finegoldia magna
Lineage: Bacteria; Bacillati; Bacillota; Tissierellia; Tissierellales; Peptoniphilaceae
Also listed under: 1 other name
Description: TPP sequence
Rfam family: TPP riboswitch aptamer (THI element)
About the family: Vitamin B(1) in its active form thiamin pyrophosphate (TPP) is an essential coenzyme that is synthesised by coupling of pyrimidine and thiazole moieties in bacteria.
Source: RNAcentral
UUCGGAGUCUGGGGGUGCUUUACGCUGAGAUCUUUUUAGAAACCCUUAAACCUGCUCAUGAUAAUGCAUGCGAAGGGAAGAACUUAGAAUGUUUU